Long non-coding RNA from Cannabis sativa, 1220 nucleotides. RefSeq lists it as uncharacterized. The transcript is spliced from 2 exons. The record is from RefSeq and is a predicted model, not a curated record. NCBI's taxonomy places the organism in Eukaryota, Viridiplantae, Streptophyta, Magnoliopsida, Rosales, Cannabaceae.
GAGCAGUUCUCCUCUCCGAUCUUCGUGAUAGCCUCUCUCUUUCUUCUUCUCCUUUUGCGUCUCGAACGUCGAACGAUGAACGGAAAAUGGCGGCCAAGCUCCACAGAUUUGAGUUCUCCAUCAUCCAAAACCCCAGUCAUCGACUCGUCGUCUCUCCACCUCGGUCGUCUUCUCUCUGACUCAUCUUCAAUCCACCUUUCUCCUCGACGAUCGAGAUCCCAGGAAACCAAGGGUUCUCGGCGUCCGUGGUCCCAGUUCGUGAUCGACGGCGUUUGAAGCUCAUCCGUGGUUCCAGUUCGUGGUCACCGACAUUGAAGCUCUAUGGAUCUCGGAGUAAAUCUAAAAAAAAAAAAUUAGGCUUUUUUAGUUUAAUUUUUUCUGGAUAUUGUAGUUAGUAGAUAUAGUUGCUGGGCCUUUAAAUCCAAACUCAUCUGAAGAUUUUUUCCAUGCCCAAAUUCUCAAAUUUUUUUAUUAACCCUCUCAAUUUCAUAGUCAUACAUAUAAAUAUAUAUAUUGACAAUUUUUCUUAGAAAUGCUAUUUAUGAUUAUGAACAGGUGAUAGUGGUAAUAAUUAAUCUGAAGAGCAAAGUAUGGUUACAAUAGUGGUUGUGAUUGUGAUAUGUCUAUUUGUUUUGGCCUUCGGAUGGAAACAGGGAGCAACUAAGUUGGACCAUACCAAACGAGAUUUUCUAAUUAGAGACUCGAUCAUCCCAACAAGCUUAUGAUACAUAUGUAGUUUAAUCAUGGUUAGAAAAAAUGAUUACUUACAAGUACCACAUUUUUUGUGUCCUCUCUCUUCUUAUUACUCCUACCUCUCACAAUACUUCAACCUUCCUAUUUCUUCAUCUUUAUUCGUGAUCGCAUCCCCAGUACUUACUUCUCCAUCGUUUUGAUCCUCCAACAAACUAUCACGAUAAAUAUCUCUCUGGUUUUCUUUUUUUCUUUUUUGUAGACUGAAUUCAUUCCAUUUUAUAUAGCCGUAUUUCGAUAUUAUGUGAAUUGUGAUAGUGUUUUAGUUGGUGUAUAUACUGUUGGAUAUAAUCUGUGUGAUUCGUGAAAGAAUUGGUUAUAUUAAGGACCAGUGAUCACGAUUUUGAAGCAACUUUUCUGUAGUUUAAUACCUCUUGAUCAGAUUCAUUGUUCAAGUUACCUUAAGAGUUUUCUAUUUCAAUUUUCUUUGUCUAUCGUUUGUUGCUGUAAAUGAGUUCAAUGCUUUUCUU